This is a long non-coding RNA of Cucumis melo (muskmelon), 982 nucleotides long. RefSeq lists it as uncharacterized. The transcript has 2 exons. The record is from RefSeq and is a predicted model, not a curated record. NCBI's taxonomy places the organism in Eukaryota, Viridiplantae, Streptophyta, Magnoliopsida, Cucurbitales, Cucurbitaceae.
UACAAUUUUUAGGGUUAGGGUUUCUUCUCACCACUCUAUAAAAACCUCCGCAUCUAACAAUCCUCAUAACCAAAUCUUCGGCAAACUCUUCGAAGCUUCUCUCCUCGAUUUUAUUAUUAUGAUUUUUUUUUUUUAAUAUUUCUCAGUGUUAGAUCUCUUAAGCUUUGAACAUUUGUCUCUUCAUUUGAUUUUAUUUGUUGAAUUUUCGCAACGGAGAAAGAAGCCUAAUAUUGCAAUUCUCUGAUCUGCCGAUAUGGAAAUCGAUCAGAGAAUCUAUCGUUAGGCGAUACGGAAGGUCGGUAUGCAUAUAACUUCUAUGUGUAUUUCUCCCUUUAGCUCCGAAUCUCCUCCUUCCUCUUCUUGGAACAGUGGGAUGUUUCGGUGACAAGGUUUAUGAUGUGAAAGGAUGAAAAAAAUCAGACGGAUUCCCAAUGAUAAUCCAUGAUAUUACAACCAGCUACUUCUGAUCACAUCAAAACUACUUUCUCAUCUCUUUUUUUCACUUCUGAUUUUCUACUCUUUUCAUUUGAAUGUAUGAAAGAUUUGUUUGUAUGUUUUUUUUUGUUUCUAUUAACGAGGCCGGUGAUGUGAUUAUAAAUAUUUGCUACUCUUGAUGGAUUAAUACCAUAUGACGAUCACUAACCACCAAGAUCUCUGAGGCCUUUCUAAAAUUGAUCUCCAUUUUUCUAAGUUUCAUAUCAAAAUUUUCUUCAAUAUGCUAUAAAAUCCAUGUAUAACUGAAUUUUGUGUGAAGUUCGUAAGAUAUAUUCUUGAAAUCUAUUUUAUAUUUAACACAAAUUUAUAGACGUCGAGACUAUAGAAAUUAAAUUAAAAGGUGAUAGCCUAAUGACUGUCACCUUUGCACUUUUGAUAACUCAUACGAGACCAUAUUGAUUAGGAUGAUCGAAGUUCAACGAUAAGUCAUCCCUAAUAUCUAAUACUAACAUUCACAUUGUCCAUCUUUAUGUUGAGAAAAAAGAGA